GAUGAACGCUGGCGGCGUGCCUAAUACAUGCAAGUCGAGCGAACAGACGAGGAGCUUGCUCCUCUGACGUUAGCGGCGGACGGGUGAGUAACACGUGGAUAACCUACCUAUAAGACUGGGAUAACUUCGGGAAACCGGAGCUAAUACCGGAUAAUAUAUUGAACCGCAUGGUUCAAUAGUGAAAGACGGUUUUGCUGUCACUUAUAGAUGGAUCCGCGCCGCAUUAGCUAGUUGGUAAGGUAACGGCUUACCAAGGCGACGAUGCGUAGCCGACCUGAGAGAGUGAUCGGCCACACUGGAACUGAGACACGGUCCAGACUCCUACGGGAGGCAGCAGUAGGGAAUCUUCCGCAAAGGGCGAAAGCCUGACGGAGCAACGCCGCGUGAGUGAUGAAGGUCUUCGGAUCGUAAAACUCUGUUAUUAGGGAAGAACAAAUGUGUAAGUAACUAUGCACGUCUUGACGGUACCUAAUCAGAAAGCCACGGCUAACUACGUG
Molecule: ribosomal RNA, 497 nt
Filed under: uncultured bacterium
Lineage: Bacteria
Description: partial 16S ribosomal RNA
Rfam family: Bacterial small subunit ribosomal RNA
Source: RNAcentral